AGAGAGCCAAGGAGAGAAGGGCCAGGGAGGACACAGCUGGCUGGCUGCCUGAGGCCCCAGGGUCCUUCCUGGCUCCCUGUCCAGGCUCCACCCACAGUCACAGCAAUGCCUGGAACCUUCUAGGACAGCCAGAUCCUGACCUACCAGUAUGGGAUCCCCACCUCUCUCCGGAACACAGGCCAGCAGUGGGACUUCCCUAAUGGCUGGGCCCCUCUCCAGGACCUGGUCAUCAGAGGCUUGGCCAAGUCAUCUUCACCUCGGACCCAGGAAGUGGCUUUCCAGCUGGCCCAGAAUUGGAUUCGAACCAACUUUGACGUCUACUCACAAAAGUCAGCCAUGUAUGAGAAGGUUAAUUUUUACCAGCUGUUCCUCAGACAAAGGUCUACUAUCUAAAAUAUAUAAAGAACUAAAAAAAAAUCAUACGCUCCAAAUAUAAAGACCCAGUUCAAAAAUGGGCAUCUGAAAUGAACAGACGUUUCUCAAAGAAGUAAAAGCAGCAAAUAAAUAUAUGAAAAAAUGUUCAACGUCACUGGUCAUUCAAGAGAUGCAGAUGAAAACAACACUGAGAUUCCAUCUCACCCCAGUAAGAAUGGCUGCUAUCAAGAAAUCAACCAAUAACAAAUGCUGGCAGGGUUUUGGGGGAAAAAGGAACCCUGCUCCACUGCUGGUGGGAGUGCAGACUGGUGCAACCACUGUGGAAAUCAGUGUGGAGAUACCUCAAAGAACUAGGACUAGAGGUCCCAUUUGACCCCGCUAUUCCUCUGCUGGGUAUCUUCCCAAAAGAAGUCAAAGAAUGAUACCACAGUGAUAUAUGCUCACCCAUGUUUAUAGCAGCAGAGUUUGUAAUAGCUAAAACUUGGAAACAGCCCAAGUGCACAUCAACUGGAGACUGGAUAAACAAGAUGUGGUUUUUUUAAUAAAAUGGAGUACUUACUACUUGCCCAUAAAGAAUGAGAAACUAGAGACAUUUAUAGAUAAAUGGAUGCAUAUUGAGGCCAUACUCUUAAGUGAAAUAAAUAGGACACACAUGUGUAAAUACCGAAUAGUUUCUCUGGUGUGAAAAACUAAAAGUGUAAAUAAGGAUCAAAAUGUAUAAUUGAUAUUGUGAAAUAGGAAGAAAACAUCUAAAGGAGUAAGGGAAGUGGGAGGGGUAGGGAAAAGGAAAGAAGGGAAAAGAAAAAAUAUGAGAAAAGGAAAAAAAUGGAAACAAAGUCUUUGUAAAUAAG
RNAcentral lists this long non-coding RNA (1226 nucleotides) under Heterocephalus glaber (naked mole-rat). Its description in RNAcentral is "lncRNA (ENSHGLG00100047669.1)". Lineage: Eukaryota; Metazoa; Chordata; Mammalia; Rodentia; Bathyergidae. The record is from RNAcentral.